GUUUUCGACGACAUACCAUAGGUCGACGUCAAUGGCUUCAAGAUGCAUGCGCAUCUUAUUCUUCCAGUAGGGAUAUUCAGUUCCAUCGAAGACGGGGCAUGCAGCGGAGACUUUAAUUAUCCCUGCAGUCGACAUAGCUAAAACUCCAGGUGGUUAAACUGAAUCACACAAAACAAGGGAGCACCUUGCUCUGAUACCAAUUGAAAGUGCAUUAUAUCGACUAGAGGGGGGUGAAUAGGCGAUAUUUAUGAAAGUCUUCAAAACAUGGAAGUUAUGAAGUCAAACGAUAGAAAUAAACCUAUUACCAUGCAGCGGAAGGUAGACUACACUAGGCAAGCCAUAGUCAAGUAUUCAAUAGAGUGAAAGCACAAUGACUUAAUAGCAGCAAUGUAGUAAGGAUCAGGUAGGAAGAUGUUGUGAAGCCAAACAGAACACGCAGUCACUUAGUGAAGACAAAAGAUAGUGCAAACAUACAAUGACUUCACAAGGAGUAACAGUAAGUAAAGGGAAGGGAAGAUGAAACCAGUGACUCGUUGAAAACAAUGAUUUGUUGGACCAGUUCCAGUUGCUGUGACAACUGUACGUCUGGUUGGAGCGGCUAGGUAUUUAAACCUUAGGACACACGGUCCCGGACACCCAGUCAUGAACACGCAGCUCAGGACACCCAGUCCUCACCGUAUUCUCCUUGAGCUAAGGUCACACAGACCUCGCCCAAUCACUCUGGUAAGUCUUCAAGGUAGACUCCCAAACCUUCACAUACUUCGUUCACCGGCAAUCCACAAUGUCUCUUGGAUGCUCAGAACGCGACGCCUAACCGGCUGGAGGAUGCACAGUCCUCAAGUGUAAUAAGUCAUCAGAUCACACAGACAAGAAGACUUAAGUGAUGCCCAAUUCUCUUUGGCUCUGGGUGGUUAGGGCUUUAUCCUCGCAAGGAAUUCUCUCUCAAAGGCUUCGAGGUGGGUUGCUCUCAAACGACAAAAGUCGUACUCUCAAUCUAAGUAGCCAACCGUUUAUGGUUGUAGGGGGUGGGCUAUUUAUAGCCACUUGGCAACCCGACCUGAUUUGUCCGAAAUGACCCUGGGUCACUAAGGAACUGACACGUGAUUUCAAACUCACACGGCAACUUUACUUGGGCUACAAGUAAAGCUGACUUGUCCGACUCUAGACAAGAUUCACUCUCAUAGUCUUCACUCGAAGACAUAGGUUUAUGUUUAGGCAUCACUUAAGUCAUUCUGAAUGGUUCUCUUGGACCCCACUUAACAGUACGGUGGUUCCUAUGACUCAACACAAAAGAAAAAGAACUACGAAAGAUCUAAGUCUUCGAGCUCCAUAGGCUUCAUGUGGUGUCUUCUCUUGUCAUAGUCUUCAAUGUGAAUAUCUUCAUAUACCACCUUUGACUUCAAUGUCUUCAUACAUUUUAGGGGUCAUCUCUGGUAGGAAAAUCGAAUCAAUGAGGGACUUCUACCUGUGUUAUCCUGCAAUUCUCACAAACACAUUAGUCCCUCAACUAGGUUUGCCGUCAAUACUCCAAAACCAACUAGGGGUGGCACUAGAUGCACUUACAGAACGAACCGAUGACAUUGGGUUCUGCAUCACGUGUGCCGUCAGUACAGGGAGCAGAGGGACCAGGGUUGAAGUCUAGUCCCAAAGACUUCUUGUUCUGCUUUGCUGAGUUCUUGGCAAACUGGAAGUUGCGCUUGAACAAAUUGUCGUCACGACACCAUAGUAGUGACGAUGGGUGUGCAUCUGCAGGCUGUGGUCCACGGACCAUGCAGGGAUAGAAGCCUUGUUCAAUGGCUUCAGCUCUGGACCUGGGUUGAAGAUUUUUGUAUAGGAUGUCUCCCCAAGGUCGCUUGAUGGCAUUUUUCUCAGCAUAUUCAUGGGUCACAAACCGGUAUUUGAACCAUUGUUCUGCCCAAUAUCUUCGAAUCCAUUGGAUUCGGGUCUUGCGCUGAUUGUAAUCCUCUUUAGGAUCUGUCUUGUAAAGAUCUGAGAGGUCAUCAGGCAAAUCUCUUGAUGUUCCCCCACGAUGCUGUCUGCCUCCCUUCCUUGCAGAUAUCUCUGUAGCCAUGAACUUUAAACUGAAUGGCUUCAACACGUUCAAAGGCUUCAGAGGCUUUCGCUUGCUGGACAAACAAGAACUGGCUUCGGGAGAAUUUAUAUGAUGCUGUAAGAAUUCUGCAAAUGAAUGCAGACUAUGAGAACCAAGGGAUUCUCCCACGGACAUGUACCUGUGACAGCAUUAAGGUGCGAGGGAAGGGGAAGAGGUCAUAUGCAUUCUCAGAACAUUUUGAAGAUAAAUCAGUUUAGAAGACAUUGACCUCAUCGUGCGAAGACAUUCACUCAUAGAUAAGGAGUUGGUUCCAGAUUUGUACGAAUCCAGAGAUCAGUACAAGUGAGGAAUCUAACUACUUUGUGAAGCAUAAGUGAACAUACUAGGCAUAAUAUGAGAUGCAGUAUGAAGUGGAUCCAACAUGUGUGAACAGAAACUACUUGUGGUAGAAAGUGACGAAUCUGUAGGAUCAAAGGGGCCGUAAAAAGGAGGUUUUUAUUUACCACACAAGGAACUGCUAGACGGAGUGGAAGAGGAGGGCGAGCAGUUCGAUCGUCCGUGCCCUAACUUGGCGACGGAGGACACCUACGGCGACGGCGGAAAGGACGAUGUCCGCGGUCGGCGUGAAGACGGCGUCAGAGAGGUUGCGGCAGCUAAGCGCUUCGUCGCCGGCGUCAUCGAGGGCUAGCGGUGGCGCUAGGGUUCAUGCGAGAGUGGAAGAAGAGAUAAUGACUAUGGUGAGGCGUGUAUUUAUAGGGACAGGGGCGGCUCAGUGUUAUUAUACAGGUGCCCCUGGCGAUUUACAUCUGAGGAACACGUGGCCAUCAUGCAGCAUAUCGGAGGUUGUUCCACGUCCCACGCACGCCUGGAUUGUCGGGUGGUCGUUCCCACUUCUUCGGGUUUCAGGUGAAGGAAUUAGCAUUGAAAGCGGACUUAAUGUUUGUCUCUGUAUCUUCUGCUGACAAGGACGCAGAGAAGACAUUUGACAGUUUCAAGAGAAUGCAUAUGAUUUGGAGAGUUAGAGUUUGAGAUAGAAAGCAUAGAGAGGUUAGGGUCCGAUCACAUUCACUUAGUUCAAAAGAUUCAACAAGAAGACAUAGCUAUAAGUGAAUGUUGUAGAGGACAGAACACUAGUAUAUAUAUAUAUAUAUAAACAACAUAGUGAAGAUAAUCAUGAAGACAUGUUGAGAUUGAAGCCAAACCGAAUAUGAAGACAUAGCAAAUGUAACACCGUGAGUGAAACACUUCAAACAGAACAUUUGGUGGUGGCGUUACCCACCGUAUAGGAAGUGUUAGACCCAGACACGCCGCACAAUUAUCGUGGCGCUCCGAGGUCAAAUUCCUCAUUAAUGUAUUCACACUUAGAAUGCAUGUCUUCAUUGAUUGAAGAUAUACUUUGCUUCGUGUGUUGCACAUCUAAGUCAUCAAUAUGCAUAAGUGUUAGGACGUGUGCCUGAUCACAGGACAUUUGAGGAUUCCAAGAUAUUUAGCUCACACCGUAACUUGCAAAAUCUCUUCUAAUCCAAGGGCAUGGUGAAGAUAUCUGCCAAUUGCUCUUCAGUGUUGACGUGUAUGAUAUCAAUAUCUUCCUUCACAACAUGAUCUCUGAGAAAGUGAUGACGAAUCUCAAUGUGCUUUGUCUUCGAGUGCUGAACUGGGUUGUUGGCAAUCUUGAUGGCGCUUUCAUUGUCGCAGUAGAGUGGCACUUGCUUCAGAUGAAUGCCAUAGUCUUUGAGUGUUUGCUUCAUCCACAGAAGCUGAGCGCAGCAAGAUCCAGCAGCAAUGUAUUCAGAUUCAGCAGUGGAGAGAGAUACACAGUUCUGCUUCUUUGAAGACCAACAUACAAGUGAUCGUCCUAGAAAAUGACAUGUGCCUGAUGUAGACUUGCAAUCAACCUUGUCACCAGCAUAAUCAGCAUCCGAGAAUCCAACUAGAUCAAACUCUGAGCCCUUUGGAUACCAUAAUCCUAGAGUUGGGGUGUAAGCCAAAUAUCAAAGAAUUUGCUUCACAACUAAGUGAUGCGAUUCCUUUGGUGCCGCUUGGAAUCGAGCACACAUGCAAACACCAAGCAUAAUAUAUGGCCUAGAUGCACAUAGAAAAAGUAAAGAACCAAUCAUGGAGCGGUAUACCUUUUGAUCAAACUCUUUACCAUUGUCGUCGGGACCCAGAUGAUGUUUGGCUGGCAUUGGCGUCGUGAAGCCUUUGCAGUCUUGCAUACCGAACUUCUUCAGGCAAUAUUUGAGAUACUUCUCUUGAGAUAUAAAGAUGUCGUUGCGUUGCUGUCGUAUUUGAAGACCAAGGAAGAACUUCGGCUCUCCCAUCAUGGACAUCUGGUAUUGCUCUUGCAUCAUAUAUCCAAACUCUUCACUGUAUUUCUGUUUGGUGCAGCCGAAGAUAAUGUCAUCCACAUAUAUUUGGCACACAAAUAGUUCACCAUAAUAUGUCUUCGUGAAGAGAGUGGGGUCGAGGGAACCAGGUGUGAAGCCUUUGCUUUUCAGGAAGUAUUUGAGUGUGUCAUACCAAGCCCGAGGGGCUUGUUUGAGGCCAUACAGUGCCUUGUUGAGUUUGUAUACCAUGUCAGGAUGCUUUGGAUCUUCAAAGCCAGGCGGUUGUGCAACAUACACUUCUUCUUCAAUCUUGCCAUUGAGAAAAGCGCUCUUCACAUCCAUUUGAUAUAGAAGUAUGUUAUGAUGAUUUGCAUAGGCCAGCAGUAUGCGUAUGGCUUCAAGUCGAGCCACGGGAGCAAAUGUUUCAUCGAAGUCAAUCCCUUCCACUUGAGUAUAUCCUUGAGCAACGAGACGAGCUUUGUUUCUGACAACUUGACCAUGCUCAUCUUGCUUGUUGCGGUAUAUCCAUUUGGUGCCUAUUAUAUUGUGCUUCCGAGGAUCAGGAUGCUUAACCAGUUCCCAUACAUUAUUCAGCUCAAACUAUUGAAGCUCUUCUUGCAUAGCUUGAAUCCAUUCAGGUUCCAUGAAGGCUUCUUCAACUUUCUUGGGUUCUGUUAUUGAGACGAAUGCGAAGUGCCCACGGAAAUUUGCUAGCUGUGUUGCCCUUGAACGAGUGAGCGGACCGGGUGCAUUGAUGCUAUCAAUUAUUCUCUCAAUUUGCACUUCAUUGGCAACACGAGGAUGUACAGGGCGAAGAUUUUGCUCUUGCUGAUCAUUCUCAUUGUUAGAGGGAUUGUCUUUAGGCUGAGCAUUGUCUUCAGGUUGAUCAGGUGCGGAGAUGAUAAGUUCCUCUUCAGGUUGAGCUUCAGAGGGUAUGAUUUCUAUAGUUCCCAUAAGUUUGAUUGAUUCACUGGAUGGAACUUCAUCUAGCACAUUUGGCAGGUGCUCUCUUUGUGAAUCGUUAGUCUCAUCGAACCGCACAUCCACUGUUUCAACCACUUUAUAAUGAAAGAGAUUGAAGACUCUGUAGGAGUGUGAAUCCUUUCCAUAUCCAAGCAUAAAAUCCUCAUGUGCUUUUGGUGCAAAUUUUGAAGUGUGAUGUGGAUCCUUGAUCCAGCACCUGGCGCCAAAUACUCUGAAGUAACUGACAUUUGGCUUCUUGCCAGUAAGGAGCUCAUAAGAUGUCUUGUUCAGAAGCUUGUGAAGAUAAACACGGUUGAUUGUAUGGCAUGCAGUAUCAAUGGCUUUAGGCCAGAAUUUUCUUGGAGUCUUGUAUUCAUCAAGCAUCGUUUGGGCCAUCUUAAUGAGUGUUCUGUUCUUGCGUUCGACGACGCCAUUCUGCUGUGGCGUGUAUGGAGCUGAGAAUUCAUGUGUGAUGUCCAAAGUAUCAAGAUAUGUAUCAAGGCCAGUGUUCUUGAAUUCAGUGCCAUUGUCACUUCUGAUGUGCUUUAUCUUGGUGCCAUAGUUGUUCAUUGCUCAAUUGGCGAAGCGUCUGAAGACAUCCUGCACUUCAGUCUUGUAGAGGAUUAUGUGCACCCAAGUAUAUCUAGAAUAAUCAUCAACAAUGACAAAGCCAUAGAGACAAGCAGUAGUAGUAAGAGUUGAGUAAUGAGUGGGACCGAAAAGAUCCAUGUGGAGCAGUCCGAAGGGUCGAGUUGUUGUCAUGAUUGUCUUUGAGGGAUGCUUGGCCCUCGUCAUCUUUCCUGCUUCACAGGCACCGCAUAAGUGAUCUUUCUUGAACUUGACGCCCUUGAUGCCUAUGACAUGCUUCUUCUUUGCAAGGGUGUGGAGGUUCCUCAUGCCAGCAUGCCCUAGCCUCCGAUGCCAGAGCCAACAUUCUGAAGCUUUUGCCAGAAGACAUACGGCAAGCUGUGGUCCUGCUGAGAAAUCUACCACGUACAAAUCACCUUUCCUAUACCCUUCAAACACUAGAGACUUGUCAGAUUCCAUUAGAACAAGGCAACGAUAUUUUCCAAACAUCACGAUCAUGUUUAAAUCGCAAAGCAUUGAGACAGACAUUAAGUUGAAACCAAGGGAUUCAACAAGCAUGACUUUAUCCAUGUGUUGAUCCUUUGAGAUUGCAACUCUACCUAGACCCAAUACCUUACUUUUACCAGUGUCACCAAAUGUGAUGUGACUCUUGUCGGAUCGAUGUAAGGUUGAGUCCAUAAGAAGGCUUCUCUUGCCAGUCAUGUGAUUGGUACACCCACUAUCAAUAAUCCAUUCUAAAGCUGCUGGUGUCGUACCCUACAGUGCAGUUAGGGGGAUAGGCUUCAUGAAGAGAAUUGUGAAGCAAAAACAUUUGACGAACCAGUGGGUUAUGAAAGCUUAGAUCGAGAUUUGGACUGAUAGGGCGAGUAGCAAACGAUUCAGGAACAAAGUACAUAAUAAGACCAUUCGGGCAUUUGAUCUUGCGCCCUACAAGAUGUUUAAGGUCCCCAGCAAUAGCGUCAGACGAUUUUGGUUUUCUGCUGGAGACCCUUCCCUGCAAAAGAGAGUUAAGCUUUCUUAGCCACCCACAUCUUCAAGGGUGGCUUAGAAGCAAUAAGUCUAAGUGCAGCAUCUGAGAACUUUGGCUUUGGAGCCCUAGCAAAAAGUCUUGCAGGAGGACAAUAGUACUCAUAAGAAUAAGCAGAAUAGUUCUUGGUCUUAUGAACAUGGCGGUUUGAUGAACCGCGCUCAUAUUCAUAGGCCUGAGUAUGGCUUCCCUGCAAAACAUUUGCGUUAGUGCGACUCAGGUGAGUCCUCUGUCUGUAUGAAGCCUUUGGACCGUAUGAAGCCUGUGGUCUGGGGUUUAUCUUCUUCACCUGUUGUGUCAUGAUGACAUUCACGGGAAGAUUCUCCAAACACCUUUUCGGCACCCAGAUCUUCUUCAUAGGCGGUCCAUUCCUGCAGUUAGUACCAAUAUACCUGGCAAAUACUUCACCAUUUUGAUUCUUAAACAGUUUAUAGUUUGCAUCAAAGGAUUCAUCAAUAACGAUGGGAUUAGCACAAGUGAAGCCAGAUAGGGUGGAUGGAUCCGCUGAGGGUUCCUUUGCAGCAACCCAUGUGGUUUUGGGGUACUGCUCAGGUUUCCAGUAAGAGCCAUCAGCAUUCAUUUUCCUUUUGAACCCAACACCCUCUUUCCUAGGGUUUUGGUUCAGGAUCUGCCUUUUGAGGACAUCACAUAGUGUCUGAUGCCCUUUGAGACUUUUGUACAUCCCUGUUUCAAGCAGUGUCUUCAACCUAGCAUUCUCAUCAGCAAUAGCAGUGGUAUCCUCAGCGGAGGGGUUAGUUACCACAUCAAUAGUUGAAGAUAUUGCAAUAGUAGCAGCAGCAGAACAUUCAACAACAGAGGUAGCGUUAUCACGCUCAAUGCAUUUAAGACAUGGUGGUUCAAAUCCUUCCUGAGCGGAACUGAUUUGUUUGGUGCGAAGUGACUCAUUUUCCUUUUGAAGAUCUUCAUGAGCCGCUCUCAAUUUCUCAAGAUCUUGCUUCCUUUGAAGAUAAUCAUAGGAAAGCCUUUCAUGAGUUGUUGAGAGCGUUUCAUGACGACUUUCAAGUUCCUCAAACUUAACAUGAAGAUUUUUUAUGUCUUCAAUUAAGGACUGAGAUCGAGUCAUUUCAGCGUCUAGCAGAUCAUCGCUUUUGUCUAACAAUUUUUGAAUAUGUUCCAUAGCUUUCUGUUGUUUAGUUGCAAUUUUAGCAAGUGUUUUGUAGCUGGGUUUGGAAUCACAAUCAGAGUCAUCUUCACUAGAUGUUUGAUAGUGAGUAGUGUGUGUGUUUACCUUGGCACUGCGUGCCAUGAAGCAGUAGGUAGGAGCGGAGUAGUCCUUGUCAUUUGCAUCGGUGUCGGUGAUGAAGUUGUUGUCUUCAGUGUUGAAGAUGGACUUGGCAAUGUAUGUUGUAGCCAGACUCGCAACGCCAGAAUCGGACUCCUCCUCAGACUCCACCUCCGCCUUCUCAGAAGCAGACUCCUCCUCUGAAUCCAUUUCCUUGCCAACAAACACACGUGCCUUGCCAGAUGAGCUCUUCUUGUGUGAUGAAGACUUGGAGGAAGACUUGGAAGAAGACUUUGAGUAUUUCUUCUUGUUGUUGUUGUCGGAGUGAUACUCCUUGCUCUUCUUCUUCUUGUUGUUCUCAUUGUCCCACUGCGGACACUCAGAGAUGUAGUGGCCAGGUUUCUUCCACUUGUGGCAUGAUCUUUUCUUGUAGUCAUAAGUAGAAGCUUCAUCAUUCCUUGAGCUUGAUCGUGAAGACUUUCUGAAGCCUUUCUUCUUGGUGAAUUUUUGGAACUUCUUCACAAGCAUAGCAAGCUCCUUUCCAAUGUCUUCAGGAUCAUCAGAACUUCUGUCGGAUUCUUCUUCAGAUGUGGAGACAACUUUUGCCUUCAAGGCACGAGUUCGCCCAUAGUUGGGACCGUAGAUGUCUCUUUUCUCAGAAAGCUGAAACUCGUGUGUGUUGAGCCUCUCAAGUAUGUCAGACAGAUCGAGUGUCUUGAAGUCAGGACGUUCUUCAAUCAUCAGGGCUAGGGUGUCAAACGAGCUGUCAAGUGAUCUCAGGAGUGUCUUGACGACUUCAUGCUUGGUGAUCUCAGUGGCGCCGAGAGCUUGAAGCUCAUUUGUGAUAUCAGUGAGUCGAUCAAAUGUGAGCUGGACAUUCUCAUUGUCAUUUCUCUUGAAGCAGUUGAAGAGGUUGCGAAGGACGCUGAUUCUCUGAUCUCUCUAGGUUGAGACGCCUUCAUUGACCUUGGAGAGCCAGUCUCAUACUAGCUUAGAUAUUUCCAAAGCACUUACACGGCCAUACUGUCCUUUGGUCAGAUGACCAUAGAUGAUGUUCUUGGCAGUGGAGUCCAGUUGAACGAACUUCUUGACAUCAGCAGCGGUGACACCUUCACCAGCCUUAGGAACGCCAUUCUUGACGACAUACCAUAGGUCGACAUCAAUGGCUUCAAGAUGCAUGCGCAUCUUAUUCUUCCAGUAGGGAUAUUCAGUUCCAUCGAAGACGGGACAUGCAGCGGAGACUUUAAUUAUCCCUGUAGUUGACAUAGCUAAAACUCCAGGUGGUUAAACCGAAUCACAUAAAACAAGGGAGUACCUUGCUCUGAUACCAAUUGAAAGUGCGUUAUAUCGACUAGAGGGGGG
This 9563-nucleotide long non-coding RNA is filed under the name Triticum aestivum (bread wheat). RNAcentral describes it as "long non-coding RNA (TAES_LNC025452)". Lineage: Eukaryota; Viridiplantae; Streptophyta; Magnoliopsida; Poales; Poaceae. The record is from RNAcentral.